Molecule: transfer RNA, 88 nt
Filed under: Halarcobacter anaerophilus
Lineage: Bacteria; Pseudomonadati; Campylobacterota; Epsilonproteobacteria; Campylobacterales; Arcobacteraceae
Description: Arcobacter anaerophilus tRNA-Ser
Rfam family: tRNA
About the family: Transfer RNA (tRNA) molecules are approximately 80 nucleotides in length.
Source: RNAcentral
AGACAGGUGCUUGAGCGGUCGAAAAGGUACGCCUGGAACGCGUAUGUAGUGAAAACUACCGAGGGUUCGAAUCCCUUCUUGUCUGCCA